GAACCAUCUCACCACAUCCUCCUUCCUCGCCUUCUUCUCAGCCUCCUUCUCCACCUCCCGUUCCCCCCGACCCAGCUAACCUAAACCCUAACUCAUCUCCGAUUGAACCCACCUCUCUCAAUUCGCCGCCGCCGCUUCCACCUCCAUCCUCCAUAAAGGAUUUUGGGUUAGGGUUACUGGACGGCUAUGACGAGUUUCCUCUCAUGAGCUUUCUUCGAUCCUGUUCAAGAGGGACUAUUUGAAGAUCUCAAAGCUGACAGGACAGAAGACGACCAGGUUAGGCUGUUCCGGCCUGACGAAAACGCUCUUAGUAUGCAAACAUGUGCUGAUAGGCUUUGUAUGACACCACCUUCUGUGGAGC
This is a long non-coding RNA of Eutrema salsugineum, 361 nucleotides long. RefSeq lists it as uncharacterized. The record is from RefSeq and is a predicted model, not a curated record. Lineage: Eukaryota; Viridiplantae; Streptophyta; Magnoliopsida; Brassicales; Brassicaceae. The transcript has 3 exons.